RNAcentral lists this ribosomal RNA (484 nucleotides) under uncultured bacterium. RNAcentral describes it as "partial 16S ribosomal RNA". It matches the Rfam family "Bacterial small subunit ribosomal RNA", at positions 30 to 507 of the family's 1533-position model. The record is from RNAcentral.
AUUGAACGCUGGCGGCAGGCCUAACACAUGCAAGUCGAGCGGAUGAAGGGAGCUUGCUCCUGGAUUCAGCUGCGGACGGGUGAGUAAUGCCUAGGAAUCUGCCUUGUCGUGGGGGAUAACGUCCGGAAACGGGCGCUAAUACCGCAUACGUCCUGAGGGAGAAAGUGGGGGAUCUUCGGACCUCACGCUAUCAGAUGAGCCUAGGUCGGAUUAGCUAGUUGGUUGGGUAAAGGCCUACCAAGGCGACGAUCCGUAACUGGUCUGAGAGGAUGAUCAGUCACACUGGAACUGAGACACGGUCCAGACUCCUACGGGAGGCAGCAGUGGGGAAUAUUGGACAAUGGGCGAAAGCCUGAUCCAGCCAUGCCGCGUGUGUGAAGAAGGUCUUCGGAUUGUAAAGCACUUUAAGUUGGGAGGAAGGGCAGUAAGUUAAUACCUUGCUGUUUUGACGUUACCAACAGAAUAAGCACCGGCUAACUUCGUG